UACGGGGGGGGCAAGCGUUGUUCGGAAUUACUGGGCGUAAAGGGCGCGUAGGCGGUUGGAUAAGUCAGCUGUGAAAACCACGGGCUUAACUCGUGGCCUGCAGUUGAGACUGUCUGGCUUGAGUGUGGGAGAGGAGAGUGGAAUUCCUGGUGUAGCGGUGAAAUGCGUAGAUAUCAGGGGGAACACCGGUGGCGAAGGCGGCUCUCUGGACCACAACUGACGUUGAGGCGCGAAAGCUAGGGGAGCAAACAGG
Molecule: ribosomal RNA, 253 nt
Filed under: uncultured bacterium
Lineage: Bacteria
Description: partial 16S ribosomal RNA
Rfam family: Bacterial small subunit ribosomal RNA
Source: RNAcentral